GGGAAUGUGGCUCAGUGGUAGAUUGCUUGCCUUGCAUGCAUGAAGCCCUAGGUUUGAUUCCUCAGUACCA
RNAcentral lists this transfer RNA (70 nucleotides) under Dipodomys ordii (Ord's kangaroo rat). It matches the Rfam family "tRNA". From Rfam's summary of the family: Transfer RNA (tRNA) molecules are approximately 80 nucleotides in length. Lineage: Eukaryota; Metazoa; Chordata; Mammalia; Rodentia; Heteromyidae. The record is from Rfam by way of RNAcentral.